This 72-nucleotide transfer RNA is filed under the name Spongospora subterranea. RNAcentral's name for it is "tRNA-Val". It matches the Rfam family "tRNA". From Rfam's summary of the family: Transfer RNA (tRNA) molecules are approximately 80 nucleotides in length. Their secondary structure includes four short double-helical elements and three loops (D, anti-codon, and T loops). The record is from RNAcentral. Lineage: Eukaryota; Endomyxa; Phytomyxea; Plasmodiophorida; Plasmodiophoridae.
UAGUGGUUAGCUCAAUGGUAGAGCAUUUCUUUUACACGGAAAGGGUUAUGGGUUCAAAUCCGAUACUACUAA